ACAUUAGUGGCUCAAUUGUAGAAUUUUCGCCUGCCACGCCUAAGGCCUGGGUUCGAUUCCCAGUCAAUGUU
RNAcentral lists this transfer RNA (71 nucleotides) under Danio rerio (zebrafish). It matches the Rfam family "tRNA". From Rfam's summary of the family: Transfer RNA (tRNA) molecules are approximately 80 nucleotides in length. Lineage: Eukaryota; Metazoa; Chordata; Actinopteri; Cypriniformes; Danionidae. The record is from Rfam by way of RNAcentral.